Molecule: ribosomal RNA, 382 nt
Filed under: uncultured bacterium
Lineage: Bacteria
Description: bacterial SSU rRNA
Rfam family: Bacterial small subunit ribosomal RNA
Source: RNAcentral
AUUGAACGCUGGCGGCAUGCCUUACACAUGCAAGUCGAACGGCAGCACGGGAGCAAUCCUGGUGGCGAGUGGCGAACGGGUGAGUAAUAUAUCGGAACGUGCCCAGUCGUGGGGAUAACGUAGCGAAAGCUACGCUAAUACCGCAUACGAUCUAUGGAUGAAAGCGGGGGAUCGCAGACCUCGCGCGAUUGGAGCGGCCGAUAUCAGAUUAGGUAGUUGGUGAGGUAAAGGCUCACCAAGCCGACGAUCUGUAGCUGGUCUGAGAGGACGACCAGCCACACUGGGACUGAGACACGGCCCAGACUCCUACGGGAGGCAGCAGUGGGGAAUUUUGGACAAUGGGCGCAAGCCUGAUCCAGCAAUGCCGCGUGCAGGAUGAAGG